Drosophila santomea is the source of this 1642-nucleotide RNA transcript. RefSeq lists it as uncharacterized. The record is from RefSeq and is a predicted model, not a curated record. Lineage: Eukaryota; Metazoa; Arthropoda; Insecta; Diptera; Drosophilidae. The transcript has 5 exons.
UUUAAAUCUUAUAAAAAGCGUCUGGGAUAAACCGAAAGCGGGUUAGGCAAUUAACGCUUUUCGCGCAGUGUAGAUUGGCAGACAGACUGAAAGCGCAGUGGGAGGGUCGCCGCACAGUUAUCAGUAUUAGUUCCAGUCUCGUUCCCAGUACCAAGCCCAAACCCCAACCCGGACUAAGACUCAGACUCAGACUCAGUCUCAGAAACUGAAACAGACUUAAAAUCAAACUGCGGCUGAAACUGAGACGCCGCUGCCGGCGUUGUCUGGAAUUCAUAUUGCCCAUAUGUGAACUCACACACAUACCACACAGACACACACUCACUUAGUGAGACACCGUGUGCCACACGCCCAUUUGCACACAUGGCCAACCGGAUGUUGCAGCCAUCUUUGUCAUCUUUUUCAAUCUCAGCCUUGGCUAAGGUCGCUCCUGCCAUCCGAUGUCCCAUCGACCAGAAAGAGACGGGCGCAGCGAGCGAGCGAGCGAGAAAGAGCCGGGUGGCUGGCGAUGCCGUGAAGUCGUGAAUUUAUAACAAAACGCUAGACUCGGCGACUCUGACCGACUGGUUUGGCGUGUUGGCCCGGCUGAAAUGGUUUUUUUUUUGUUGCUUUUAUGGCCAUAACAAGCAAGCAGCAGAGUAGCAACAACUGUAUCAAAAGCAUACAAAUGCCGCAACCCAAAAACCCACUACACAAAUUCUGAAUGGGCAAAACAUCUGAAUAUUCGAGAUGGUCGAAAGAGAGAGGGCGCGGGGUGGAGCGACGUCGAUAAGGAAGUGCGGACGUCUUUGGGGUCUCGGCUUGGCAAGAUGGAAAUCUUAAUCCAAAUGGAUGUGAAUCUGGAUGGGAAGUCGAGCAACACACACACACACACACAUAAAAGGACUUCUUGGGAACCCAGGCACUUCCGGAAUGGAUGGAUGGCCCGACUCCUGACUUCUCCUGCUGCUGCCUGCUGAAUCCUCCGGCUCUGGUAGCAACUUGACUCCGGGAUCUUGGCGCAACUCGAGUCGGACGCUUCAGAUAAGACUUGGCGUCGUGCGGCGGAGGAUAUCUGGAAACAGGAAUCAGGAUUCAGGCCAACUUGUCAACGAAGCGGCACGCCUAAUGUCCUUUUGAUAGGCCCGCUGGCCGCUCCGCAGGAAGUGGCAACCGGCAACCGGCAGGAGGAAGUGGUGUCCACUGCAGCGGCGCCAGCGCUUGAUAAAUUAUCAUGUGAGCAGAUGCAGAGGGAUGCUGGACAGAGGACGAGGAGGAACGAGGAGCCGCAGUCAGAGGAAGUGGCAGGAUGCGGCUGGCAGCUGCAGCAAAUGAUGCUGCAGAAUAGAACUAACCCGUUCACCUGCGACGAUUUUUAAUCUAUUUUAAAUGUGAUACGACACCAUGGUAAUGGUACGGUGCGACCGGAUGAUGGUUCACAACGACCGUGUCCUUUAAACGGGUCGGUGGGACUUUCGUCCGUUUGUAACGCCAUUUGUCAACGAUUUAUCAGUGUCCGUUCGAGAAUUAUUUAUGAUGCCUUCUUGCACCUGCCGUCCAUCGAUAGUGGCAUUAAUUGAUUCGUAAUUGCAUCCUGUUCCGGAAUUAAUGUUAAGCCGCUAACCCCAAACGCUGUUAAUCUAUAUACCAUGUACUACAUCACGAC